This is a long non-coding RNA of Mesocricetus auratus (golden hamster), 1255 nucleotides long. RefSeq lists it as uncharacterized. Lineage: Eukaryota; Metazoa; Chordata; Mammalia; Rodentia; Cricetidae. The transcript is spliced from 3 exons. The record is from RefSeq and is a predicted model, not a curated record.
UGUGCAAAGGACCCCUUUAAAGGACUGACCCCUGCCUACUUACGCUCUUUUAGUCCUCUCUUACUCUUCCUCACUUCUCUUACUUUUCUGUUCCCUGGGCGCUAAAACUCCCGGUGACCGCAGAGGCUUCCCAUCGCUUCCCAUCAUGGCUAAAGCUGUCUCAGGGCGGGAACCGCCUUCCACCUGGGAGUGUCCUGUUUUGUCUCUCUCCUGUUGAUCCCAGUUUAGCGUCUGCUCAGGACGCUCUGAGAGUUUUUCAUUUUUUCCCCCACAAAUGAGGUUUGAGGUUUUCGGAUUUUUCACUGCUCAGACCCACAAGGGGUCUCUCAGAUUUUAUACCCUGGCACUGGCCGUUCAUUCGUUUCUUAGAACUACAGUGGUCACACAUCUUUCUGCCUCACUCGUGGAGAAAAAAGGCCCCUUCUGCUGGCAGACGGAAAUGUGCCUAUAGAGGCCACCAUCUGGGCUAUCUUAACCAUGCGGCCUAGCUUGGGAACUGGUUUAUGGAAGCUGCCAUGUUUACCAAGUGACCUAGCUGUAGACAUGCCCACUUAGUCUAGCCAGGUUCUGCCAGCAAAGCCUGCUGGCAGAUACAAUUCAUUUACUUUUUGUCUCUUUUGCGCUUUUAUUUUUGUCUCUAAUUUCAUCUUUCACUGAUCCUGCUGCACAUGCUUGUUUAUGGAAUACUGUGCCUUUCCAGGGUCCCCUGUGCUAUCUGCAGCAAAUCUUCCUUCUCGUCACUGGCUGUCUCUUUAAAUCUGUCUGUUUGCUACAAGUGUGGAUCAACCGCUUUUACCCAAUCCUGUUUAAUGUAUCUAUAUGUAUGUGUAAAAAUAUAAGAGACAGGCCAGCUGCUGGCACCACUCCAUUUCCUCCAAGAAGACUGGUGGACAUUGAAGAAACUCAGGCCACAAAAGUGGCAACGCUGGCCACUAAGCCACCCUGCCCUUCACCUCAACUGCUUCAAAGGACUCUUCAGACAGUGAACAAGAGGACACUGGAAUAGACUUUCUCUACGUUGUUCGGGUCAAAGAUCCACAGAGAUGCCAGAGUUCCGCACAGCCUGCACUACAAUGGAACAACCAACUACUCAAGAUGUGACAACACCCCAACUUUCUCAAGAUUCCCCAAAGAUGGUCAACGCCCUCAGGCCUCAGGUCAGCAAGAAGCCGUCUUAAGACCUCAACGUCCUUAUUCCCUAACCUGCCACGUCUAACACCCCCACCUCUUUUUAAUCAUAAAUAAAGGUGGGAAU